Falco peregrinus (peregrine falcon) is the source of this 4063-nucleotide long non-coding RNA. RefSeq lists it as uncharacterized. The record is from RefSeq and is a predicted model, not a curated record. Lineage: Eukaryota; Metazoa; Chordata; Aves; Falconiformes; Falconidae. The transcript has 3 exons.
UAGCAACCACAGUCAAACCAUUUUUUUUCCAUUUCCUCUUACAUCACCCCGUGCCAGCGGAGCCUGGGGAUGUGCUCUGUCAUCGGCUGCCUGUGAAGCCCCAUCUGCAGGAGCAGAAAGGAGGACAGCACCCAAGGAGGGCUCGCAGGGAGAGGAGAAGCCAUGUACAAGAGAAAGCUGAGAGGCAUGUAUGUCUCUAAGACGGCACUAAAGCAUCAGUUUGACCCCCGUAACACUCCAAAGGAAACAUACCUGCUGUGCAAACUGCAGUGGGGUGAGGCCGGCACACCUUGGAUACACUGGGUCAGAAAUGACAAUUACCAUGCUGAAGUCUACUUUCUGGAGAAGAUCUUUAAGACGAGAAGAACCAAUAAUUAUGUCAACUGUUCUAUCACGUGGUACUUGUCCUGGAGCCCCUGUGAAAACUGCUGCUAUAAAAUACUGAAUUUCUUAAAGAAGCACUCAUACGUCAACAUAGACAUACAUAUAGCACGGCUUUUUUGCAUAAGAGAUGAAAGAAUCCGCCAAGGUCUGAAGAACCUUGUGAGAUUGGCAGAUGUAAAAAUUUCUGUCAUGGAAACUGAAGGCAAGAUUUCCUGUGCUUUGUGGGACUGUGAAGGGAUGAACUGGUGAACUUUGUGCAUAGGUGAAUCUUGUAUGGGCUUGCUUCUGUGCCCAGUGUCCUGCCCAGCUUCUCUGGGGACACAUCCAUCACCAUUCAGUGACUGAGUGUCACGUCCAAAAACAGAUGUUCAAAUAUUGCAGUAGAAGGGGGACAGGACUCCUAGCAGCCAGACCUGUAUGAAAACUGUAUGAAAAUUCUUGCUUAUUUAGAGGCACCAUCUUUUUGUCACUCCUGACGGACUGGGAGAUAGGGUGCUUCUCCCUUGUCCUAGGGCACUAAAUGCAGUUCCACUGGUAAGGGGGUGGGGGUGGGGGGUGAGGAAUGCCCAGAGAGAAUGGCAUUGGUUCCAAAUACAGAGUGGACAGCAUCCAUUAGCUGGCCUGUCCAUGGCCAAGCUGUCUCUGUGCCAUGGGUGCAGGGAAAAGGUUAAAAAGUCUUGUUGCCUGAGCUUCUCUGGUAUCUGAAUAAACUCAGGUUAGUCAUCUUGGUUCCAUUUCUCCAGACUACAAUAACUGCUGGAAAAUCUUUAUCCAAGGAGAUGAUAAUGAUGAUUCCUGGGCUAAGGGCUUUCAAUCAGAGAUAACUACGAAUCGUUUGAAGCUCAAGGAUGUCUUUGAGGAUCUUCCAUGCAUAUAAGCAUAGAAUCACUGAAUAUCUCAAGUUGGAAGGGAACCAUAAGGAUCAUCAUGUCAAACUCUCUGCUCCCCACAGGACUACCUAAAACUAAACUAGAAAAGCAUCAUCCAGAUGCUCCUUGAACCCUGCCAGGCUUGGUGCUGUGACCACUUUCCUGGGGGGACUGUUCCAGCGACUGACCACCCUCUCAGUGAAGAACUUCUUCCUAAUGUCCAAGUUGAACUUCCCCUGAUGCAGCUUCAUUCCAUUUCCUCCUGUCCUAUUGCUAGUCACCAGAGAGAGGAGAUCAGCAUCGGAAUUACCCUGUCGCAGGUGGAGAAUCCGGCGCUUGCUCUUGUUAAAUUUCAUGCAGCUGGUGACUGCCCAGCUCUCCAGUCUAUCUAGAUCCCUCUGUAAGGCCUCUCUUGCCUCCAGGGGGUCCGCAGCUCCUCCUGGUUCAGCAUCCUCGCCAAACUUACUUAAUGUACAUUCAAUUCCUGCAUCCAGAUCAUUUAUAAACACAUUAAAGAGCACUGGACCGAAAAUUGAGCCCUGGGGAACCCCACUGGCAGCUGGUUGCCAGCCUGAGGUAACCCCAUUUACUUUAACCCUUUGAGCCUGACCCGUCAGCCACCUGCUCAUCCAAUGUGUUACAGACUUGCCUGUUAUCCAGAAGGAUACUGUGAGAGACUGUAUCAAAAGCUUUGCUAAAAUCCCAAAAUACCACAUCUACUGACUUCCCUUUGUCAACUGGACUGGUGGCCUUGUCAUAAAAGGAAAUUAAGUUGGUUAAGCAGGACUUUCUCCUCAUGAACCUGUGUUGGCUAUGACCGGUGACUGUGUGGUGUCUCGAGUGUUUUUCAGUAACUCCCAGAAUAACCUUCUCCAUAAUUUUACCAAGCACUGAAGUGAGACUGAUAGGCCUGUGCUUACCAGGGUCUUCCUUCUUACCCUUCUUGAAAACUGGGACAACAUUUGCCAGCUUCCAAUCAAUGGGAACCUCUUCAGACUGCCAAGAUCAUUGAAAAAUAGUGGAGAGAGGUCCUGCAAAGACAUCGGCCAGCUCUUUCAGUACACUGGGAUGAAUCCCAUCAGGCUCCAUAGAUUGAUAUGCAUCCAGCUGGAGCAGCAAGUCUUGAACAAGCUCAGGAUCAGCUGUGAGUUUAUCAUCCCCCCAGCCAUGGUCUUCCAACCCAGGGCUCCAGAGGUCCCAGGGCCCAUCACCAGUGUUAAAGACAGAGGUGAAGAAGGUAUUAAACAUCUCUGCUUUGUCUACAUCCCUAUUUGUGAGGUGACUGACCUCAUUGUGUAAUGGGCCAAUGUUAUCUCUGAUCCUCUACUAAGAGAUUUCACUCCCAGAAGAUGGCCAGAUGCCUUACUGCUUGUAUGUAGAAGAUAAUAAUCAUAAAAUGUUGCUAGCAUUCCCCAGUUUCUAAAAGUCACCAAUAUCCUGGACAGAUAGCUUGUCACUGGGAGUCUUGUAUAUACUGGACAGUGCUAAAUAUCCCCGAUGACAAACUUCUGGAUGUGGAAAUGGAGGCAGAUAGCAGCCAGAAUGGGAAACAGUGUCCCAGGCGCAAUACUCUGCUAAUAUUCCUCCUCUGAUGUGGCCCAGUAGUGCACAGGCUGAUGGGAAAAGGGUACUUAAAGAGGACUGCUGAAUUAGCAUCCAAACAGUUGAUUAAUUCACUGUGACUUACUUCACAGUUGAGGCAUUUUGAUGAAAACAGGUUAUUUCCCUGACUCUUGGAAAAUAGAUCUCUAACAAGAGAAAGGCAGGGUGCCAAAGGGAACAUCUCUGGAGACUUGCUGUCCUCUCAGCUAGCCUUGUCUCCUACCUUAUGCUGCGAGAAGAACAAAAGUGAACCUAAAAAUACAGAAAAUGCCCCAUCAGGUCAGAGAGCAUAUCCAGACACUGUAUCUAACAGUGGCAAGAGAAGAUGCAUUCCAGGGAGAGCAAAGAAGCCUGGCCACUAUCUGUAGUUCACUAUGAUCCGGUCACACUAUUUCAACAUCCACAAUGACCAUGGCUGCGAACCCUGCAUCUUCCCUUCAGUGUCUGUUUGUGGACUUGUUACCAUUAAUUUAUCAGAUAUCUUCUGACCUUGUCCUCCCACCUGUGUCCACAGUUUACUGGGGCAGCAAAUUCCAGAAGUUCACAGCUUGCCAUGUAAAUACAUACUUGUCUCUGUUUUAAACUGAUAACUAAUCACAGUAAGUGCCACUUCUUGCCAUACUAAUGUCUCAUCAUUAAUCACUGAAACACCUGUCUGCAUUGGAAAGACUGUGCUAGCCUACAGAAUUUUCCACUGGCUCAGUAGGAGCUAUAAAUGUAACCGACAGCAACACUUGAUCUUAAAAGAGCAACUUAAAAAAUCCACAGAUGCACUAUUCAACAGAAGCAAAUCCUCCAGCCACCAAGUGAUGUGACUGUGGAAUGAUAAUUACAGCACUUGUGGUCAUUGCAUUUCAGCAGCUCCACUCAACUGGCUAAAAGAAAGUAUUUCUGUCCACAAGCCCACCCUGGAACUGGACCACUACAUAUAUCCACUGGAAACUGCUUGAAAAGCAAGGCACAUUAGGCUGCACAAAGAACUGUAAGAAUGCAGCUGUAUCCCUUGCAGUAAUGCAGCUCUCUUUGCUCCUCUGUCCGGUUGCUUGAUUCUCUGUACCGUGCAGACGUACAAGCCUGCUGUCAGUACCGAGGGCUUGGGAAUAGAACCUCUCUGCAUCCCCUAUUCCCGAUGCUAGAUUAUUUUUGUAAGACUAGGAUAAAUAUUCAUUGAUUUAUACACAUUUUAAUCAUUAAACUCUAAAGCUAUG